Molecule: ribosomal RNA, 383 nt
Filed under: uncultured bacterium
Lineage: Bacteria
Description: bacterial SSU rRNA
Rfam family: Bacterial small subunit ribosomal RNA
Source: RNAcentral
ACGAACGCUGGCGGCGUGCCUAACACAUGCAAGUCGAGCGGAGAAGGCAUUUAUGUCUUUUCAGCGGCGGACGGGUGAGUAACACGUGGGUAACCUGCCUCGAAAUGGGGGAUAGCCUUCCGAAAGGGAGAUUAAUACCGCAUAACCUCGGAUCUCCGCAUGGAGGACCGAGAAAAGGAGAAAUCCGUUUCGAGAUGGACCCGCGGCGCAUUAGCUAGUUGGUGAGGUAACGGCCCACCAAGGCGACGAUGCGUAGCCGACCUGAGAGGGUGAUCGGCCACAUUGGAACUGAGACACGGUCCAGACUCCUACGGGAGGCAGCAGUGGGGAAUAUUGCACAAUGGGCGAAAGCCUGAUGCAGCAACGCCGCGUGAGUGAUGAAG